CCGGAAGGUGCGGCUGGAUCACCUCCUUUCUAGGGAGAUCCGAGUCGAAGUCCGCGGUGGAAUUUCGACGUUACAGGCUCCCAGGUUGAUCGCCCGACCCUCGUGGAAAUUCGCGUCAGGUGAAUUUCCGGUCACCGCAAGGUGAGUGGUCGAAGCGACCUGACAAAACCACCGAAAACUGCUCGUGCAGAUCUUGAGCCGUGUUCCUACCACUCUUCACCGGUCAAGGAUGCAGCCGCCGGCGGCGACCGCGUGUCGACCCGCGUCGGCACACGUCUCCGGCGGGCGUUUAGCUCAGUUGGUUAGAGCACUGCCCUGAUAAGGCAGAGGCCUCUGGUUCGAGUCCAGAAACGCCCACCACUUCCACGGUUGCCUCGCGCAAACUAGGGCUCGGGGGAAACGGCCGGGGGACGUAGCUCAGUUGGCAGAGCAUCUCCUUUGCAAGGAGAGGGUCAGGAGUUCGAGUCUCCUCGUCUCCACCACUCUCGAUCGCAACGCAGAAGAGGUCACGAACCUGCUCGGAGUCGCAUCCAACCAGAAUUGAAGAAGCCGGGUCGGACCCGGAACACCACUCGAGCACCACGUGCUGUCAUGACGACGGUUCGGGACGAAUGAUCUCGAGCCGUUGUUUUUGUGUCCGGUCCAGGGAACCGCAGCCACCCUCCUGAUCCGUGAUCUCCACGACCUGGAGCUCACCGACCAGCAGGUUUGCUGGGCAGGGACGCCGGCCUUACCUCCGGCGCCGCCGAGACCUCUUCGGAGGCCGCACCUUACCAAUUGCAUAUGUGUCAUCGGCAAGAUUGAAGAAACUUCGAUUUCGCCGAGUUUCAAGGUGUAUCCCGGACCCCGCAUGUCCGGCGCCGUAAAGGACGCCGGCUUCUCAUCCACUGACCGCCUGGUCAGAGGCUGAAAGGGGGUCAAGCUACAAAGGGCACGG
Molecule: transfer RNA, 937 nt
Filed under: uncultured bacterium
Lineage: Bacteria
Description: partial may contain 16S ribosomal RNA, 16S-23S ribosomal RNA intergenic spacer, and 23S ribosomal RNA
Rfam family: tRNA (bases 284-357)
Source: RNAcentral